Molecule: long non-coding RNA, 1112 nt
Organism: Neofelis nebulosa (Clouded leopard)
Lineage: Eukaryota; Metazoa; Chordata; Mammalia; Carnivora; Felidae
Exons: 4
Source: RefSeq, a predicted model, not a curated record
CCAACUCCUCCCUUCUGAGUGACUGUGGCUUUGACCCGUUCCUACCCUUUGGGGGAGGGUCUCACUGAGAAAUGGCUGGGUACUGGCCACACGCAGGAACAUUCGCAUGACCGUGCUGCUGCAGAGGCCUAGAGACUGUGCCCGGGUGCCAGCCUGCCCCAGAAAAAGUUCGUGAGAUCAUGUAGCAGCAGCAUGUCAGAGAUUAUGGCAAAUCACAACACACAUCUGCCACCAGGUCACCCCUAACAUCCUCUCCAACAGCAGUGAAUGCAGCCAUUCUCCAUGGUCUGCUAGAACCUUUGACUGUGGGGAGGCCACACCACCUCUAUCAAAUGACUUCCCAGCAGGGGAACAACCACUUCCUGUGUGGCCCAGGACCCCAAGGACCUUACUUUCUGCUCCCAUGGAUCCACCCUCCCACCAGAGCACCACCAGGCUCCAUCAUAACAUGGAUUUCCAAGACCACGUCAGCAUAGGUGCCUGUUUCCAAAGGUAAUGAUCUGUGUGGUUUAGGGCUGCCAAGUUGAGCCCCAGAUCAACCUCCGGAACUGUUUUGAAGCCCUAAUAUGUAUAGAGGCAUUACUGGUGCCGAUCCCAGCCAUAUGAGCAAACUCAUAAAGUCAGACUUUCCAGUAUUGGGACCCCAGAAUCUACAUAUUUUUAACCUUUGGAUUAACAAUCAUGUUUGGGAUUCACCAAGAAGAUUCUCUUUCAUCCAAAGCAUUCUUAAAGUGUGUAAACCUGGCUCAGGUUAUCGCUAAUUGGAAUCUUUCACAUGGCUCGAUUUUGAUCUACAGCAGAGGUACAGUACCACAGUAGAAGUAGAUCAUUAGAUCUUUCCAGUUUGUUCCAGAACUAAUGUCAACUCCUGGAGAAGGCACAGGGCUAAAUGGAAAAUGGAGGAACCCAUCAUUGAGCACUUGUUACAUGGUAGUUACAUAGUCUGUGAAGUGUUUUCCAUGUGUAACAUGGAAAAAAGCUAUUUGUAAUUUAUAAUUCUCUUCUACCUUCUAAAGAAGAUACACCCCAGUGACUGGAGGCUUCCUUGUGGACUGAAAAGAAUGAUUCCUGAGGAGUGAUGUUUGGAGGAAAUGGAUAAGAGUUAAAUUGAG